This is a long non-coding RNA of Capsicum annuum, 346 nucleotides long. RefSeq lists it as uncharacterized. The record is from RefSeq and is a predicted model, not a curated record. The transcript is spliced from 2 exons. Lineage: Eukaryota; Viridiplantae; Streptophyta; Magnoliopsida; Solanales; Solanaceae.
ACUCUUGUGCUACCACAAAAAACAUUGAAGAGAAUGGAGAAGGCAACAUUCUUCAAGAUUUUCUUGGUCUCAAUUUUGCUUAUUUUGUUAGGACUAGGAAGCCAUGCGACAGGAUGCACUAGAGAUGCCGAUUGUGUUAAGGUUGUGAGAUGCAUAGACUCACAUCCCGAAUGUGACUUGAUAAAACAUCUAUGCGUCUGUCGAGCUCCACCAGCUAGUUAUGGAAUAAAAAGCAUUCACAAGACUGAGCAAAACUGAUUUAUGUUUGUUAUUCAUGUGCAAAUAAAUUGAACCAUCAUUUAUGUUUUUCCAUGUCAUAAGGUUCAAUAAAGGUUCCUUAUUUUCA